RNAcentral lists this ribosomal RNA (372 nucleotides) under uncultured organism. RNAcentral's name for it is "partial 16S ribosomal RNA". It matches the Rfam family "Bacterial small subunit ribosomal RNA", at positions 527 to 896 of the family's 1533-position model. The record is from RNAcentral.
GUAGGUGGCAAGCGUUGUCCGGAAUUAUUGGGCGUAAAGCGCGCGCAGGCGGUCCUUUAAGUCUGAUGUGAAAGCCCACGGCUCAACCGUGGAGGGUCAUUGGAAACUGGGGGACUUGAGUACAGAAGAGGAAAGCAGAAUUCCAAGUGUAGCGGUGAAAUGCGUAGAGAUUUGGAGGAACACCAGUGGCGAAGGCGGCUUUCUGGUCUGUAACUGACGCUGAGGCGCGAAAGCGUGGGGAGCAAACAGGAUUAGAUACCCUGGUAGUCCACGCCGUAAACGAUGAGUGCUAAGUGUUAGGGGGUUUCCGCCCCCCUUAGUGCUGCAGCUAACGCAUUAAGCACUCCGCCUGGGAGUACGGCCGCAAGGCUG